GAUGAACGCUGGCGGCGUGCUUAACACAUGCAAGUCGAACGGUGAAGGCGGAGCUUGCUCUGCUGGAUCAGUGGCGAACGGGUGAGUAACACGUGAGCAAUCUGCCCCUGACUCUGGGAUAAGCGCUGGAAACGGCGUCUAAUACUGGAUACGAGCUGCGAAGGCAUCUUCAGCAGCUGGAAAUAACUUCGGUCAGGGAUGAGCUCGCGGCCUAUCAGCUUGUUGGUGAGGUAACGGCUCACCAAGGCAUCGACGGGUAGCCGGCCUGAGAGGGUGACCGGCCACACUGGGACUGAGACACGGCCCAGACUCCUACGGGAGGCAGCAGUGGGGAAUAUUGCACAAUGGGCGAAAGCCUGAUGCAGCAACGCCGCGUGAGGGACGACGGCCUUCGGGUUGUAAACCUCUUUUAGCAGGGAAGAAGCGAAAGUGACGGUACCUGCAGAAAAAGCGCCGGCUAACUACGUG
Molecule: ribosomal RNA, 468 nt
Filed under: uncultured bacterium
Lineage: Bacteria
Description: partial 16S ribosomal RNA
Rfam family: Bacterial small subunit ribosomal RNA
Source: RNAcentral